Molecule: transfer RNA, 77 nt
Filed under: Candidatus Effluviviaceae Genus IV sp.
Lineage: Bacteria; Candidatus Effluviviacota; Candidatus Effluviviaceae
Also listed under: 1 other name
Description: tRNA-Val
Rfam family: tRNA
About the family: Transfer RNA (tRNA) molecules are approximately 80 nucleotides in length.
Source: RNAcentral
GGGCGAUUGGCUCAGUUGGUUAGAGCGCCGGUCUCACAUACCGGAGGUCACUGGUUCGAAUCCAGUAUCGCCCACCA